AUUGAACGCUGGCGGCAGGCCUAACACAUGCAAGUCGAGCGGAUGAAGGGAGCUUGCUCCUGGAUUCAGCGGCGGACGGGUGAGUAAUGCCUAGGAAUCUGCCUGGUAGUGGGGGAUAACGUCCGGAAACGGGCGCUAAUACCGCAUACGUCCUGAGGGAGAAAGUGGGGGAUCUUCGGACCUCACGCUAUCAGAUGAGCCUAGGUCGGAUUAGCUAGUUGGUGGGGUAAAGGCCUUCCAAGGCGACGAUCCGUAACUGGUCUGAGAGGAUGAUCAGUCACACUGGAACUGAGACACGGUCCAGACUCCGACGGGAGGCAGCAGUGGGGAAUAUUGGACAAUGGGCGAAAGCCUGAUCCAGCCAUGCCGCGUGUGUGAAGAAGGUCUUCGGAUUGUAAAGCACUUUAAGUUGGGAGGAAGGGAAGUAAGUUAAUACCUUGCUGUUUUGACGUUACCAACAGAAUAAGCACCGGCUAACUUCGUG
RNAcentral lists this ribosomal RNA (484 nucleotides) under uncultured bacterium. RNAcentral's name for it is "partial 16S ribosomal RNA". It matches the Rfam family "Bacterial small subunit ribosomal RNA", at positions 30 to 507 of the family's 1533-position model. The record is from RNAcentral.